CUCGUGCUCGCUGCGGAGUAAUUCCCGGUUCCCGGUGGGGGAAGCACCCCCUUCCGAAGCCGAGGCUGUGCGCCCUAAAACAAGUAGCCCCAACGUGGGAGAAACAAAAGGGGCUCUUUAAGCAAAGAGCCAAACAGCAAGAAACACCUUCAAGAACUCCCUGGAACUGGGCAGAUUCCCUAGGCCCCUUCCUGCUAGAGACUGCAGAGCCCAGCUGUAAGGAAGACUCUGGGCCACCUGAGUUGCCUGGAAGAGGUUUAGACCAACCAAGGCACCUGGAAAGGACACUCUCCAACCUGCUGAGCUGCCUGCAGGCUUUGCAGUGUGCUUCAGGUUCCCAGCUUUGGAGCUGUCAGCCAUGCUGGGGUGGACCUUGGGGAUGCAGCUGUCUUUGAGUCAUUUCUGCUUCUAUAUAAUGGACAUUGUUUAUACUUUGACCAUCGGAUGUACCGUUUUGAGGGAACUACAACAGCAAUGCACAAGAACAACAGAGGAUCUUUCUCUAACAGUGGUGACAGUGACAGUAGCUCCAGGGCCAGUGCUUCCAGUGGCAGCGUCCAUUGCUGCCCUCCAAUGCUGUGAUGCUAGCUGGCUGUCCCUACUUGCUGAGAACAGUGUUGGUAUCCUCACCAGGCCAGUCCUACGAUGUGACUUUAGCUAUUGUUUCCAGAUGCUUUCCAUCCUUGUGUCCCACCUCUUCUUGCAUUUAUGUGAACUUCUAAUGUAAAAAUUCAUUUCUGCUUAAAUUAGAAGCUUAAUAAGUAAAUUGUUAGGUCGGGCAGUGGUGGCACAUGCCUUUACUCCCAGCACUGGGGAGGCAGAGGCAGGUGGAUCUCUGUGAGUUUGAGACCAGCCUAAUCUACAAGAGCUAGUUCCAGAACAGUCUCCAAAGUCA
This is a non-coding RNA of Cricetulus griseus (Chinese hamster), 895 nucleotides long. The record is from RefSeq and is a predicted model, not a curated record. Lineage: Eukaryota; Metazoa; Chordata; Mammalia; Rodentia; Cricetidae.